UACGUAGGGGGCGAGCGUUGUCCGGAUUUAUUGGGCGUAAAGAGCGUGUAGGCGGCCAAGCAGGUCCGUUGUGAAAACUGAAGGCUCAACCUUCAGAGGUCGAUGGAAACCGCUUGGCUAGAGUCCGGAAGAGGAGAGUGGAAUUCCUGGUGUAGCGGUGAAAUGCGCAGAUAUCAGGAAGAACACCCGUGGCGAAAGCGGCUCUCUGGGACGGUACUGACGCUGAGACGCGAAAGCGUGGGGAGCGAACAGG
RNAcentral lists this ribosomal RNA (253 nucleotides) under uncultured bacterium. RNAcentral's name for it is "partial 16S ribosomal RNA". It matches the Rfam family "Bacterial small subunit ribosomal RNA", at positions 524 to 776 of the family's 1533-position model. The record is from RNAcentral.